RNAcentral lists this ribosomal RNA (257 nucleotides) under uncultured bacterium. RNAcentral's name for it is "partial 16S ribosomal RNA". It matches the Rfam family "Bacterial small subunit ribosomal RNA", at positions 524 to 777 of the family's 1533-position model. The record is from RNAcentral.
UACGUAGGGUGCGAGCGUUAAUCGGAAUUACUGGGCGUAAAGCGUGCGCAGGCGGUGAUGUAAGACAGAUGUGAAAUCCCCGGCUCAACCUGGGAACUGCAUUUGUGACUGCAUCGCUGGAGUACGGCAGAGGGGGAUGGAAUUCCGGCGUGUAAGCAGUGAAAUGCGUAGAUAUGCGGAGGAACACCGAUGGCGAAGGCAAUCCCUGGCCUGUAACGUGACGCUCCAGUGCACGAAAGCGUGGGGAGCAAACAGGA